GCUGGGCACACACGAACCUGCAUGGGGUGGGAGGAAACGCGCGGGGGGCUGCUGACUUCUCUUGCCUCUCACACACCCUGGUGUCAGGUGCCGGCCAACCUUCCCUGCCCUGGGGCAGAAGUUCAGAAGCCUGGCACCUUUCCGUUCAGACUCCUAGGCCCCAGACCAGACUCAGCCCCAGCAGUGGGUCUAGGACCUGUCCUUUGAGGAAAAGCUCCAUGGGUGAUCCUGAGGAGCCGUGGUCCUAUGUUUGAGAACCCCUGCUGCCAAGGACACCAAGAUGUCCAGACCCGGAUCCCUGACCCCAAGGCACACAGUCUGAUGGGAAGAGGAGGCGUGCACACGGGCAGCCACACCUUCUCUCUUAUGUGCUGUUUUUGGUGGAAGCCAAGAAAUGUUCUACUAUCCCAGGUCCACUGAGCCUCUGCUACCCAGUGAGAGGGCUGCAGAGAUGCUGGUUAGGUGAGGAGCAAGGGACACAUGGAAGAAAUGAAAGAGGGGGCAAGGGAAGGCUUCCAGAGGAGGUGGCACUUGAACCAUGACUUCAACAGAUGACCAGCAUUUGCCAGGCCGAUGGGUGCCGGUGGGAAGCCAGACUGCAUGUGUGUGUGGUGCAGAGAAGCCGCAUUCCAGACGGAGAUAAGGGCUCACGAGGGACAAGCAGUGCUGUGGGCUGAAAAGUGUCCCCCAAAGAUAUCUGUUGAAGCCCUAAUCCCCAGGAGCUCAGAUAUGAUGGUCUUACAUGGAAAUAGGGUCGUUGUAGAUGCAAUUAGUUAAGAUGAGGUCAAACUGGAGUAGGGUGGGCCUCUAAGCCCGUCUGACUUGUAAGACGGGAGAGCCCCUUGAGGAGCCACAGAUGCGUGUGCAUGAGGGGAGGUGGCCACGAGAUACGGGGGCAGGCUCCCAAGCCAGAUGAGCCAGGAACCCCUGGGGUGACUGGAAGCUGAGAGCGCUGAGGGAGGCCCUCCUCUCAGGGCUCCCAUGGGAGCACGGCCCUGCGAACACCCUGACCGCAGACCCUGCCUCCCCUCCAGAACUAUGGGACGAUUGUUUUGUGUUGUUGUAAGUCUCCCUGUGGUGGGUGGUUAUGGCAGCCCUGGGAGACGACCUCAAGCAGGACAAAUGCAGCAGGACAAUGAGGGAGGGAGGGAGAUAGGAUGGCCCACCCCAGGGGGCACACAUCACUCAGGUGACAGCAGGAAGGCUGGAGUGGCCGGAGAUGGUGCUGGCCAGGGUGGCAGGGGCCCUGAAAGCCACAUUUAAAAAAUUCAGAUUUUAUAACGAGGGUAAUAGAAAUCCAUUGGAAUGUCUUAAGCAAAAGAGUGACUCCGUUAGAUAUGGUGGUUGUCAGCAUGUCCAGCUCGGUUUGACAAAUAUUUAUGAAGUGCCUGCUAUGUGCCUGGCACUGGCUAGGUAAUGGGGCUAGAAGAGUGAGUGACACACCUCCUGUCCUAUUGAUGCCCAUGGUUUCCAUUGUGCAUGAGGCCCAGCCACAUGCUGGUCCUUGGGCCCAGCGGUAUAUCCCAGUAUUCUGAGGCAAGGCCGCCUUUUGCUGAGCAGCAGGUGGUUGUUUGCGUGGGGCUGUGGCCAUAGCUGUGGUGUCACCCAGGCUAGUUUGUGUGGUGAGAAGGGCUGGGACUGAGGACAGGCCUGACUGAUGGUGACACCAGGUCACAGGAGCCAGAGAAAAAGAGGACCAGGGGACACUGGAAAGGAUCCAGCCAGGGAGGCAGGGUCAAGGAGCAGAGAGGCGAUGGUGGUUGAGAAAGACAAACACCAAAGAGAGGUGGGUAAGGGAAGGAUGGGAAGUGCCUACUGCUUAUGAUCACUAGGAGGUCAUGGUGGCCUUCACACCAUAGUUAUUCCCCAGGCUGGGCAACAGGAAGAAGUCAGGGGGUGAAGCCAAGAAACAUGGCUAUGAAAGGAAAACAAGAAUGGUGAGAGUGAAUAGGGCCUGCUGUUGGGUUUCAAGCGGAGACAUUCCCUGUGGAGGGGGGAGCCAAGGAGGGUGACGCCAUCAGGAGAGGGACUGAUCGGUGGUGCGAGUCCCUGAGAAGCUGGCCCCCAAGCUCAGCCCAGAGGAAGGGAGGCGUUGGACCUUGAGGAGAAAGAGAAGACGGCUUCUGGGGAGAAGGAGGCGAGGACAGAGGCAAACGAACUCAGUUCAUGGACAGAUUAAAAAAACCCAAGUACAUGGAAUCCAGGGACACUGACCGCUAUUUUCCCUGGAGUAGGAAUUAAGAUCAUCUGCCGAAAGAGAAGGCUGAGGUGCUGAAAUAGUCGCUGAAGGGAAACAAGAGCACAACUGCUUUGAAACUUGGAGGAGAUGAGCACCACUGGCUUUGGGGACUCUGCUCCCAUCAACGCACAGAAGGAGCCUGACUCUACACAGCAGGCACAGGCACCCUCAGCUUGGCAAUGGUGCUACCUGAGGCCAAGGAAAUGGCCUUGAGGGCUCUAUGGAUGGAGGACUGAAGAGAAAGAAGCCUGUCCUCUAAAGGUAGGAAGGAUUCUCAUCACUCUGGUGGACAAUAUAUGGACAUCUCUGAAUGUAAGGUGCACAAAUUGACUUCUUGAGGCUCCCUCUAGCCCCAGAAUUCUGAAAUUCAAGGGAAUGGAUGAUUCAACCUCAAAGUUACAGGCUUUUAGCCAAGCAUCUCCUUCCAUGAAGUUAGGACCAGCAUCCUAGGCGGCCUCCCUCGAUUCUCUCCAAGUUAAAAGGCUAGAUGAGACCAUUGCCAAUAUCCCUUCCACCUCUAAAAGACAUUAAUAUUAUUACUGGGCCGUUAAGAUCAAACAAGGGCAAAGGAAAAAGCACUCCACUUUUGGACACUGCUUCUGUCCAAACUCCAAGAGUGUAGGAGCUCUGUCCAGAGAAGGAAACUGGUAAGAGGACAAGUGGAAUGACCAGGCAGAAGAGCACAGGAUCCCCAGCCCAUGUCCUCAGCUGCAACUGUAAAGCCCCCAUGUGAGUGGCUGAGUCCUUUAAAAGGCAAGGGAAGUGGUUCUGUCCAUGUGGCAGGUCCCUAAAAAGUGGGGGUGUAAGACACCCACACCAGCAUAAGGAGCUUUCUCACUUGUGCCUCCCAGGCCUCAGUUUCAUCAUCCAUAAAAUGGGGAGAGUAAGGAUGGAAUUGAACUUUACCACUUCAAACUGACCACUGAGCUAAGUACAGUGGAGGGGCACUGGGCAGGACAGGGCAGGAGACCAGCAAUGAAAUUGCCGGGUAAGCUUUGGGCACAUGCAGACAAGGAUUUCUUCUGAGCCUUCAACUGAAGACUCCCUAUUUGUCCAAGGGCAGGAGGGGACACUGGGAGUGGAUGGGAGGGCCUCAGCUCUGGAAGGCAGGGUGGGCUGCGGG
Manis pentadactyla (Chinese pangolin) is the source of this 3362-nucleotide long non-coding RNA. RefSeq lists it as uncharacterized. The record is from RefSeq and is a predicted model, not a curated record. The transcript is spliced from 3 exons. NCBI's taxonomy places the organism in Eukaryota, Metazoa, Chordata, Mammalia, Pholidota, Manidae.